This 451-nucleotide ribosomal RNA is filed under the name uncultured bacterium. RNAcentral's name for it is "bacterial SSU rRNA". It matches the Rfam family "Bacterial small subunit ribosomal RNA", at positions 28 to 479 of the family's 1533-position model. The record is from RNAcentral.
GAUGAACGCUGGCGGCGUGCUUAACACAUGCAAGUCGAGCGAAGCGYUAAAGCGGAUUUCUUCGGAUUGAAGUUUUAGUGACUGAGCGGCGGACGGGUGAGUAACGCGUGGGUAACCUSCCUCAUACAGGGGGAUAACAGUUGGAAACGGCUGCUAAUWCCGCAUAAGCGCACAGUACCGCAUGGUACGGUGUGAAAAACUCCGGUGGUAUGAGAUGGACCCGCGUCUGAUUAGGUAGUUGGUGGGGUAACGGCCUACCAAGCCGACGAUCAGUAGCCGACCUGAGAGGGUGACCGGCCACAUUGGGACUGAGACACGGCCCAAACUCCUACGGGAGGCAGCAGUGGGGAAYAYUGCACAAUGGGGGAAMCCCKGAKGCAGCGACGCCGCGUGAGCGAAGAAGUAUUUCGGUAUGUAAAGCUCUAUCAGCAGGGAAGAAAAUGACGGUACC